Molecule: ribosomal RNA, 301 nt
Filed under: uncultured bacterium
Lineage: Bacteria
Description: partial 16S ribosomal RNA
Rfam family: Bacterial small subunit ribosomal RNA
Source: RNAcentral
CAGUAGCCACGGUAAUUCGUAGGUGGCAAGCGUUGUCCGGAAUUAUUGGGCGUAAAGGGCUCGCAGGCGGUUUCUUAAGUCUGAUGUGAAAGCCCCCGGCUCAACCGGGGAGGGUCAUUGGAAACUGGGAAACUUGAGUGCAGAAGAGGAGAGUGGAAUCCCACGUGUAGCGGUGAAAUGCGUAGAGAUGUGGAGGAACACCAGUGGCGAAGGCGACUCUCUGGUCUGUAACUGACGCUGAGGAGCGAAAGCGUGGGGAGCGAACAGGAUUAGAUACCCCUGUAGUCCCUGUCUCUUAUAC